Molecule: ribosomal RNA, 253 nt
Filed under: uncultured bacterium
Lineage: Bacteria
Description: partial 16S ribosomal RNA
Rfam family: Bacterial small subunit ribosomal RNA
Source: RNAcentral
UACAGAGAGUGCAAACGUUGUUCGGAAUUACUGGGCUUGAAGCGCACGUAGGCGGCGUUGUAAGUGUCGGGUGAAAUCCCACGGCUCACCCGUGGAACUGCCCGGCAUACUGCGAUGCUAGAGUGUGGUAGGGGAGAGCGGAACUCCUGGUGGAGCGGUGAAAUGCGUAGAUAUCAGGAGGAACACCGGUGGUGUAGACGGCUUUCUGGACCGUAACUGACGCUGAAACACGAAAGCGUGGGUAGCAAACAGG